Non-coding RNA from Phoenix dactylifera (date palm), 2892 nucleotides. The record is from RefSeq and is a predicted model, not a curated record. NCBI's taxonomy places the organism in Eukaryota, Viridiplantae, Streptophyta, Magnoliopsida, Arecales, Arecaceae.
UCGAGUGGACUCUACCGCCGCGGUCUCUCUCUCUCCCACAUCCCACCGUCGGUGGAGGAAGAGGAAAACCUACCGUGACUUCGAACGAUUGAGCUCAACAUUCUCCUUCCUUCGAACCCUUUAAAAUCGAAGAUCUCCGGUGUCCUACCCCCGAUGGCGACGGUAGGCGAAACAUCAUCUCUCUGACCUCUUCUUGAUCCAACCGUUGCUUCUUCUCUUAUAUUGUUCUUCUGCUUUUUCUCUUCACCUUCCCCUCUUUCCUGGAUUUUUUAUUUUCUUGAAAUUUAGAUUUAUUGUUCUCCUUCUUCACACUGUUGACCUGGAUUUCUUUAUUUUAUUUUAUUUUAUUUUACUUUUUCUGUUGGUAAUCCAACCUCUUUGUAUUUCUCCGAUUUGGAUUAGGCUUGUGAAACAAUUGUCUUUUCUAGCCCCCUUUUAGUACGACAUAUUGUUGGUCUGAGGAACAUGAUAGAUAUGCUUCAUCAGUCCUGAUAUCUUGCGUUGUCUUUGGCGUCAGACCUUCUUGAAUUAAAGAAGUUGCAUUUCUUUGAUAAUGGGAAGCUUUUCGUGAAAUCUUAGCUUUGCCUGCGUUACGGGAAGAAGGAGCACGUCAACAUCCAGACCUUUUUGAAUUAAAGAAGUUGCAUUUCUUUGAUUAUGGGAAGCGUUUCUUGAAAUCUUAGCUUUGCCUGCGUUAAGGGGAGAAGGAGCAUAUCAACAUCCAGACCUUUUUGAAUUAAAUAAGUUGCAUGUCUUUGAUAAUGGGAGGCGUUUCUUGAAAUCUUAGCUUUGCCUGCGUUAAUGGAAGAAGGAGCAUCUCAACAUCCAGACCUUUUUGAAUUAGAGAAGUUGCAUUUCUUUGAUUAUGGGAAGCGUUUCUUGAAAUCUUAGCUUUUCCUGCGUUAAGGGAAGAAGGGGCAUCUCAACAGCCGGACCUUUUUGAAUUAAAGAAGUUGCAUUUCUUUGAUUAUAAAAAGCAUCUCUUGAAAUCUUAGCUUUGCCUGCGUUAAGGGAAGAAGGAGCAUGUCAACAGCCAGGAGGAGAUCCUGUUCUCAGAGACAGCGAUGCUCAGAAGCAAUGCAGUUGCGAAGAACAUCUUUGCCACACGAAAAUGCACUGCACCGCACGGUUAUUCUUUACCAGGUACAAUUUAUUUCUUCAUCAUGUUAGUGAAGCCAAAGAUUCAAGAUUUCAUUUUCGUUGGCUCUCAUUCAUUGAAGACAUGUUUCUUUUUUGCUUGUUAAUUACAUGACUGUUCUUUUCAUGAAUUGUUAAGUAGCAAGGAGAUAUGCCCAAAAUAUAUCAUGGGUAAUGCUUAGUGUUGUUUGUUGCUUGGCCUCCUCUACAACCGGAAUUCUAUGUUCCAGAAAUGCAUAUGUGUGUAAUUGGAAUCCAAAACAUGGGUGGAGCAUACUCUGGGCAGGAAAUUUGCUGGGUUUGUAAUUAUUUUAAGGUGCCAACCGACCACCACUGUGCUCUCAUGCAUAUAUUCAAACUUACAAAAGGCUGGGGUUGCCCAGAUGAGUUCUUUGUUGCCUUUGGUAGAAGGAAUUUUGACAAAAUAGAAACACAUAAACAAUUACUGCUUAUUAAGAAAUCACAAUUAUUAUCUUUCCCAGUUCCUGAUCUAAUCGUUUUGCUUGACUGCAGCCUCACUUGCGAACAUAUUUGGGAUCAUCCAAUUUUUGUAAUAAAAUUGUGAUCAUGUAGUACAGGUGGCGAUCAUCAUACGUGAUAAAUUGCACCAUUUCCAUGUGGGAUCCUGAGAUGUGGUUUUUAGGCAUGUUGAACAUGCUAGAAGGCCGAUACUGCCUCAACAGAGAGCAAGGCCAUAGGCCCAGUCCAGGAUUUCACCUAGGUUUUGUUGAAGGAUUAGGAGGAGAGCAAAGGUUCGAGGUUACCUUGGAAGUUCUGUUGGUGGUCUAGCAGUUUAUGCCUUAGCAUCUGCAAUAGAAAAGUUCUGCAAUGGUCGCAAGGCCAUAAACCGUGGUAAUGACGGAAAAAAGCAAAAAGUAGUAGAAAGAACUUUCCAAGAAAGAAGCAUCGGCAACAUUGCCUUGGAACCCAACGAGUCAUGAAUAUUAGAUUCUAAAUGUUGCUAGAACUGCAAUUCUUUGCUUUUACUGAUGAUUUCAAUAUCUUACAGGGUACAACCAAUGAUGUGACAGCCUUUCUAAUCCUUGGAAGAAGAAGAUAAAAGACUUAGCGACUCCGAUAUUUCAAGAGUGGGUCAAAAAUUUAAUACAGUGAUGGUGAUUAACAAGGGAGGGGAGGCACCCAUUUUUGUUAUUUGGACAGGGUACAACCAAUGAUGUGACAGCCUUUCUAAUCCUUGGAAGAAGACAGAUAAAAGACUUAGCGACUCCGAUAUUGUAAGAGUGGGUCAAAAAUUUAAUUCAGUGAUGGUGAUUAACAGGGGAAGGGAGGCACCCAUUUUUGUUAUUUGGAAAAUUCAGGCAGUGCGACUACCAAUAUACUCAUGACUAGAGCAGAAGACCUCUUAAUUAGUAUUGGAAUAAUAACAUAAAAGGAAGAAGCUGGUGAAUUCACGUCUACAUGUAGCCACUAGCUUUCGAUUGCUGCAAAUAUGCAUAUUGGGUAAUUGCACUUGUUUGAGGAGGUUGAGUGAUGUAAACAUAGACUAAGACUUGGUCAUGGGAAAUUUCUACUGAGGGUUACUUCCCUGCUUCAUAAAUUCCCCAGAAACUCGAAUGGGUACUCACUUCCUAUGUAUUUCCUUCAAUUUUUUUAAAAUUCAUUUGCUUGUAUCCAUUUCUGCAUCUACUCCCAGUUUUGGCAACUAAGGUUUAAAGCAUGACAUACCUAGAGACAUGGUGUCAAAGGAUGAGCUUCUCAUAAUGGAAUCAUCGGAAUACAGAACAAAAUCAUAAA